GGAACAAUUUCCAGUAAGGAGUCAAUAACAAAUUAGGGCAGGAAUUUCUUCAGCAAACACUCCAACUACUGUUCUGCAAGAGGAGAGUCUAUCUCGUCACGUGAAGUAGCUUAAGAACUUUGAAACACCGAGUUAGCUCAGCUGCAUUGAAUAGAGACUGCAUCAGAGUAACUGGUUAUCUUUAAAUGGAAGCUCAAAAUACAGAUUAGAUUUAUCCCCUUUGUGAAAACCAGCUGUAGCAAAUACUUGGAAAAGCAGAUUCUGCAUCCAGGGGCGCUGAAGAUAAAUAUGUUCAACAUCAUACACUCAUAUACAGCAUGACUGGAGCUCCAAUAUGUAUUUCAGAUAAUUUCAGUGCAUGCAAAACCUUUUUCACCCUUAUUCAUUUCAUGAAUGACAGCAAUGAAUAUUGUAAUGUAUGAGAGACAAAGAACUUACGAACGAAUAGGCAGGAACAGAGAAAAUGAGAUGUGAACUGAAAGUCAGGAAGGAAUAUAUUGGAAUUGUCUGUAUUUUAGUGUUUAGAUUCACUCUGUGUGGGCAUUGCUUACAGAAAACCAGUCAUAGGAAAGGUCAGAAAAUGUCAGUGUCAGAUAGCAUGGGCCUGAUCUGAUAGGCUUUCAGAGAAAAAAAUACACUGUGUUCUGUGCUAAGGGUGAGGGCAGAAAAAUCCCUUACAUUUUCAGUAAAAACAUUCUGGAAUAAAUUUCUGUUCUGCAAGCCCAAAUCUGAGCUUUACUGAAGCAGACAUGAAAACUGUUUCCUGCAGCAUACUGGGACCUGGUGAUGUGGAUACUGACAAGGAAUCAAGAGUUUUCCUAAAGCUCUUUCUAAUGCUUACUACACACUGAUUACCAAACAUGUUUUUUCUCUACUAAUGCCUACUUUGUCUACACAAAUUCUGAAUGCUUGUUCAGCUGGGUAUUUGCAUACACUGGACAGCUUCUGUAGGGAGUUAAUUUAGCUAAUAAAACAUAAAGAAAUGAUCUAGAAUAAGGCUAAGGAAGCUUAGAGGCAAAACAACACAGAACUGCCACUGAGCAUGACAUUUUGUUCCUUUACCUACCUAAUUUCGGGUAUUCAGCUUAUCCCCGUGCUCAGCAUUGCACUCAUAAACAACCUGAAAUUGUGGCAAGCUAUUCAACAGUAAGAAAUAUUUUAAGUAAAAAUUAAGUUUGAUAAUCCAUCUGAUGUCUUCUCGGGAAUUAAUCUCUGGCUAAUCAUCAUCAGUGACAAAAAUGUUACAGUUUCUUUGUUACUGUUUCUGAAUAGUUUCACAUUUUUUUCUGGUUCCUUAUCUAGUUCUUCUGGAGUAUGAAGAAGAACAUAUGAAGAGGUUCUUGUAAACUUGCAAACCUUAUUUACAAGCCACCAGAUACUUUCACAUUUCUAGAUAUAUAUAUCUAUCUAUGAGGAGAUAUGCAUGUAUCUCCUAAUCUUUAAGGCUAUUCACUAAGGCUCAUCUUAGUAAACAUUAUCUUAACCCAAUUUGAAUCAUGAGAUGUGAGCAUUAGA
Molecule: long non-coding RNA, 1515 nt
Organism: Lagopus muta (rock ptarmigan)
Lineage: Eukaryota; Metazoa; Chordata; Aves; Galliformes; Phasianidae
Exons: 3
Source: RefSeq, a predicted model, not a curated record